Molecule: unclassified non-coding RNA, 240 nt
Filed under: soil metagenome
Description: partial contains 5.8S ribosomal RNA, internal transcribed spacer 2, and large subunit ribosomal RNA
Source: RNAcentral
AACUGAUACUACCUGCGGGAACCUGCGGAGGGAUCAUUACUGAAGUGAUUUGGGGAUGUUGCUGGCCCUCUCUCAAGGGGGGGCACUGUGCACUCCUCGAAACAAUUCACAAUUUCCAUCACACCCCUUGUGCACACCUUGUAGGCGCCCAAACCCACCUCCGGGUGGUGGGGUCCUAUGUAUUCCUUCAUCUCACACUCUGUUGAAUGGUGCCAUGGGACGCAUCUAAAGGAUUAUUUG